CCGUAUCCUUGUGAACUUGGUACUGGCUAUGGUCAGCCUUGUUUAUCUACGAAAUUUGCAUGGCGCAGCCCAUAUCACUUAUAGCCACUGGAUUUGAGCCAAUUUACAGAAAGAAACCCUAUAAUUUCACUCUUAACAUGCGUAAAUGAAAGUAGAUGUUCAAUGCUGGGAAAAGGCAGAGGAGAAAGAUGAGUAAGAGGAGAGACAAGGCGUCAGCAAUGGAAGUAUAGGUGGAGGCAGAGGAGGAAGUAUGGGAGGAGGCGGAGAAGGAA
This 272-nucleotide long non-coding RNA is filed under the name Coffea arabica (coffee). RNAcentral describes it as "long non-coding RNA (CARA_LNC007354)". The record is from RNAcentral. Lineage: Eukaryota; Viridiplantae; Streptophyta; Magnoliopsida; Gentianales; Rubiaceae.